RNAcentral lists this ribosomal RNA (253 nucleotides) under uncultured bacterium. RNAcentral's name for it is "partial 16S ribosomal RNA". It matches the Rfam family "Bacterial small subunit ribosomal RNA", at positions 524 to 776 of the family's 1533-position model. The record is from RNAcentral.
UACGUAGGAUGCAAGCGUUGUCCGGAUUUACUGGGCGUAAAGCGUGCGCAGGCGGUUUUGUAAGUCUGACGUGAAAGCCCCGGGCUUAACCUGGGAAUUGCGUUGGAGACUGCAAGGCUUGAAUCUGGCAGAGGGGGGUAGAAUUCCACGUGUAGCAGUGAAAUGCGUAGAGAUGUGGAGGAACACCGAUGGCGAAGGCAGCCCCCUGGGUCAAGAUUGACGCUCAUGCACGAAAGCGUGGGGAGCAAACAGG